UACGGGGGGGGCAAGCGUUAGGCGGAAUCACUGGGCUUAAAGCGUGUGUAGGCGGGUCGUUAAGUGUCUUGUGAAAUCCCCCGGCUCAACCGGGGAAUGGCUGGGCAUACUGGCGAUCUUGAGCAGUCUAGGGGCAGAUGGAACAGACGGUGGAGCGGUGAAAUGCGUAGAUAUCGUCUGGAACGCCAAAGGUGAAGACAGUCUGCUGGGGACUUGCUGACGCUGAGACACGAAAGCCAGGGGAGCGAACGGG
RNAcentral lists this ribosomal RNA (253 nucleotides) under uncultured bacterium. RNAcentral describes it as "partial 16S ribosomal RNA". It matches the Rfam family "Bacterial small subunit ribosomal RNA", at positions 524 to 776 of the family's 1533-position model. The record is from RNAcentral.